AAGCCAGACAUAUAAAUUUUAACUCUAAAUAUGAUGGCGUGAGGAAAGCAGGGGGGACUUUGGGAGGUGAUUGUUUGGAGGGUGAAGCCAACAUGAAUGGGACCGGUACAAUUAUUAAAGAGACCCCUGACAGAUUUGUUACUUUUUUCACCAUAUGAAGAUGUGAGGAGUCAGCCAUAGCCCAACAGAAAGAGUGUUCUCACCAGAAUCUGACGAUGCUGGGAUCAUGACCUCAGACUCACAGCCUCUAGAACUGUGAGAAGAUAAAUUUAUGUUGUCAGUAAAACACCUAGAUUAUGGUGUUUUGUUAUAGAAGCCCAAGCUGAUUAAGACAUCAAACAUGGUGUAUUGGGUAAUAAGAAUUGAGAUAAAUAGUAUGGGGUUUUAUGUUAAUCUGGCUAUGACUGGCCUAUAUUUAUUAUUUUCUGUAGGUGUAUGUGCCAGAGGCUUCGAAUUCCUCUAGUGUCCUUGUUUUUGUCUCAUUUGUUGUCUUUGGUUUCUGUAAGUACUUCCCUUCAGAGAGUCUAUACUUUGCAGCGAUUUCAGCUGCAGUGCACAGUUAUAUUGGAGCCUAAUUGGCACAUUUGUGGGAGAGGGAAAGGCUUCCAUAAUGAAAUAUGAUGAAAUCUCAUCCUUUGUCCCUGAGCUGUGACCUUGACAAGAAUUUCUUAACUUUUCCCCCACCCCUUAAUUAAGACAGAAAAGCUAAAGGGGACUGGAGUCGGAGAAAUACCCUUCCCCCAGAUGGUACAAGUUUCCAGUAAAGUCUUUUUCCUAGAGAACAGACUUUGUUAGGGAGAAUGAUCUAGCCAUGUUUUAUAAUGACAACUCAUUUUCAUAAGUAAAAUGGGUCUAUAUUGUUCUUAAUUUGGGAACAGGUUAAUAAUAAUCUUAUAAAUGGUAGUUGGUAGCUUUGGAUUUUUUUUUAAUUUCUAGAAUAAUUAUAUGAUUGGGGAAAUAACUAUUUCUUGCAAUAUUGGAAGUAAUUUGUAUCCUCGAAAUACUAAGCCGUGAGGUUUAAGUAUAAGUCUAGUGGCUGCAGUCCUAACCCCUUCCUCUUAGUACUCCUCUGAGCCACAUCUUAAGCAACUAUCUUGGGAAUGACUUCCAGGCAUUGAUUUGUGAAUACCAUGAAAAACUUGCAUUUAUCCAUAGUGAUAAUAUUCCAGAUACAAAGAAAUCAAGUGCCUUGUAAGUCUGUUUUGUGUGACUUGCUGAAGUCAUGUGCUUUUCUAAUGGCCCAAGAAUACACAUAGAUUCUGUAGGAAAACUAUAGUAGGCUAAAUGAAUUGGAAAGAUUUUAAAUUAUAUAUGUGAGCUUUUGUGGUAUAUUUUCAUAUAUAUUCUAAUUUAGUCUUUAAACUUUUGUUAGGAAUUAUUAGCUGCAUUUUCACAUAUGAGGAAAUUUAAGAUGUGCAGAAUUUGAUAACUUUGCCAAGUCUACAUAAACAGGAAGCUGUGCAGUCAAGGCUCAGAGUUAAUUCUCUCUCCUUUUCAAGACUGUAUUCAAUGGCCAUUUUUUGCUGUACUUCACAGGUAAGCUGUCACUAGCUUAACUUAAAAUGGUUCUAUUUUUCUAUCUCAACUUUUGUUUCAAAUAUAAGGUGACUGCCUAGAUUAUUUAGAAAGCAUUCUUAAUAAUUCUUAAUAAAUAAUUUUGCUGUUUUCUGCAUUUAUAUAGAACUGCACUGUCUGAUAGAGCAGUCUCUUCCUGGCCAGGGGACUUGGGAACUUUCAGCGGAAAAUUGAGAAUCUAUUAUUGCUAAUCUAGGCUUUAAAGCUUUCAUGCACUUGUAGAAAGAAAACUUAAUGGGAGGUAAUUUAUAAGGCUGCUAUCUCAUUAAGGAAUUAUUGGAGAGAGAGAAUUGGAACACCCUGACUCUUUACUAGAGAUAGAUCAAUAGAUAGAUAGAUAGACAGAUAGAUACAUACAUACAUACAUACAUACCACACAUAUAUAUAACAAAAUAGCAAAGACUUUUGGUCAUUUGUAUUUAUUCCUGUCCUCUAUAUGAUAUACUUCUCAAAUGUUAAGCAGUGAUAUUUUUUGCCAUCUCUCUGUCAUUUAUGCAGUGUUAUUACCAAUACUUGUAAGAGGUAGGAGUUUCUGUUCACUGUAAUUUACUAUCAUCAAAUAUCUUGGGCAAGUGUUUUGCCACCUACUGCAGCUGAGCAGUUUAAGGAAUAUAAAUAUUUGAACCUAUAUUACUAAUAAGGUGCAUAAUCCCUUUCUAAGUAUUUAUACAGUCUUUUUUGAAAGAUGAAUAUAAUCUUUGCCAUGAAACCAAAUUGCUUAUUUCCAACGACUCCAAUUUUAUGUUUAAUAAACAUAAAAAAAUUGGAAGAAUGUAUAAACACUAUAUACAUCAAUAGUUCAUUUUAAAAUAUUUAAAUGAUUGAUUUACAAUUGAAAUUUUAAGAAUACUGUAUAAUUAAUCCAGAAGAAAGUGCUGAUUAAUUACAAUCAUGAUCCAAGGGCUUAUAAAUGAUUGCCCACAGAAUGUAGAAGUGAAGGGGUUAUACAUUCUCUCUCAUAAAGUCUUCAAAAUAACCCCUAAAUUUAAUACCUCUAGUAAUUUAAUUUAAAAAAUCAAUAUAGUGCUUCUUGACAUUCUCUAUAGAAAACAGAGUUCAGAAUCAAAGAGAAACUCUUUCUGUGGUCAGGAAAAUGGAUUGAAUCUUAAAACAUAAGGUCAUAUUAUAUAUAAAAUAUAAAAUAUCAGUUAUAUCGGUUCAUUUCAGCUUUUUGAAAUCAGUUAUAUAAGUCAUACAACAGAAGAGCACAGUUUACUCUGAAGUAGUGAGGUUAUAGAGAAUAUCUGAUGAAAUUAAACAUAUAUAAUGUUAAGUUAUGCUUUUAGGGCAUUGUAGCUGUAUUUUAAGUAUAUUUUCUUCCCUAUUGGCUCUUACUGAUGCCAAAUGGAUGUAUUCUUAUGCACUAUUUCAGAUGCUUGAGCAGCUAUUCUGAAUCAUCUAUCUUCCAGCCAUUUCAGAACACUGUGUGUGAGAGAGAGAGUUUCGAAGAAUUUUGUAUUAUUUUUUUAGGGCCGCACCCGCCACAGAUGGAAGUUCCCAGGCUAGGGGGAGAGUCAGAGCUGUAGCCGCUGGGCUACACCACAGCCACAGCAACUUAGGAUCUGAGCCAUAUCUGUGAUCUACACCACAGCUGAUGGCAACGCCAGAUCCUUAACCCACUGAGCGAGGCCAGGGAUUGAACUUGCAUCCUCAGACUGGUUUUGGCUGAUCCAUGACAGGAAUUUCUUUUUUGUUGUUGUAUUUCUUACGCUAUUACAAAACAUAUAGAAUGAAGAAAUAAAGUUUCAUACAUGAUAAAGCAAAAACAUUCUAAGAUCUUGAAUUCUACCCAGUUUUAGAAGAUAUAGAAUCCAGAAUGAAAAGAUUCCACACAUGUGUUGAAAUGAAAUGAUAACAUCAUAUUCCCCUAAUGGUCCCUAGGAUAUUAUACUUUAUUACUGUAUAUCAGAGAUGAAGAAGAAAGCAUGGUAGCAAUGGAUAUGGAAAUAGGAGUCAGUUGGCUGAUGGAGUAAAUGUCUGAUUUGUCUCUUCCUAAUUAUUAUGACUUCAAGAACCUAGAAAAAAUGCCAUUUCUUUAUGCCCAGUGUGAAUACAUAUGUAAACCAAUCUAUCACCAUGUCAAGUUCAGAACAAAUUAAUGUCAUAAUAAAAGCAGCCAGUAUCAUACAACAUACUUGUACUUUUAAAAUUUAUUUUACAGAGGAAUUCUGCAUAUUGUUUCUAAUUGUCAUGUGAUUAAGUGUAUCAAUCUUUCUCAGAAUAUUAUUAAAUGAUGAAAUUUCCAUUUAAAAAUGCACUGUUCUGGAGUUCCUGAUAAGGCUCAGCAAAAAAGAAUCUGACCAGUAUCCAUGAGGAUAUGGGUUUGAGCCCUGGCCUCGCUCUAUGGGCUAAGGAUAAGGUGUUGCUGUGAGCUGUGGUGUAGGUUGCAGAUGUGGCUCAGAUCCUGUGUCGCUGUGGCUGUGGUGAAGGCUGGCAGGUAUGGCUUCAAUUGGACCCCUAGCCUGGGAACUUCCAUAUGCCGCAGGUGCGGCCCUAAAAAGAAAACAAAUGAACAAACAAAAAACAAAAUAACACUGUUAUUUUGGGAAAUUAAGAUCCAUGGAAUAAAUUAUAGUGUGGCAUUCAAUAUUACUAAAAAUUGUAAUGUCCAGAGUAAUUUGUUGAGCAUUGUUCUCACUAAAUUCUUAGUUUUAGAGAAUAGAAAAUAUUAUUAUAAAUGUUAAUAAUCACAGACCCAAAUAUAUUAGAAUACAUCAAAUAGUCCUUUUUCACCUAAAAAUAAAAUCUAGCUAAUAGUCAAUUCUCUUACAUUUCUAAAACAAAGAUUUUGGAAGAGACAAUUCAUGUUAGGAUUAUAUUUUAAUUAAGACAUUAUUUAGGUAUAAAUGAUUAACUGCAAAACACAUUUCAUUUUAAAACAUAGGGCAAAUAAAUAUGUAUUUCCCUUUCAAUUUUAAUUCCUUCUGAAUAUUUAAAAAACUUCAAAUCAGCUGUAGACUUUGUCCUUAGAUAGUAAUAGCUAAACUAAUUUUACAAUUAUAUAUUGGGAAAAAUGUAGGAGUUCCUGUUGUGGCUCAAUAAGUUAAGGACCCAGCAUUGUCUCUGUGAGGAUGUGGGUUCAAUCUCUGGCCUUGCUCAGUGAGUUAAGCAACCGGUGUCGCCAUAAACUGUGGUGUAGGUCACAGAUGCGCCUCAGAUCCGCUGUGGCUGUGGCUGUGGUGUAGGCUGCAGCUGUUACUCCAAUUGGAUAUCUGGCCAAGGAACUUUCAUAUGCUGCAAAUGUGGCUGUAAAAAGAAAAAAAAAGUAUAUAAGGCAAAACACAACGAAAUCAAAUUCUAUGAUGUUUGUAGCAAUAUCCUUAGAAAAUAAAGGAAAUAAUAAGAUAAUGUGAUAACUAGGUUAUUUUUCAUUUACUGUAUGUUUUACUUGUUAGACACUAUAUUGGCCUUCUGCUUUCAAAAAUACAACAUUAAAUCAUUUCUCAGUAUUUUUCCCAGUAGCCUUCAAAUAAAGAAAAUUAGGAUGCCAGAUUUUCUAGAAGAUAAACUUGAAAUACAGUAAGUGCUUUCCUCUCAGGAUUUAUGGAU
This 5124-nucleotide long non-coding RNA is filed under the name Sus scrofa (pig). RNAcentral's name for it is "lncRNA (ENSSSCG00055030090.1)". The record is from RNAcentral. Lineage: Eukaryota; Metazoa; Chordata; Mammalia; Artiodactyla; Suidae.